AUUGAUUUUAUGCUUGCAUAAAUGAUUUUUGGAUUCGGAGCGAGUGGCGAACUGGUGAGUAACACGUGGGUAACCUGCCCCGAAGCGGGGGAUAACAUUUGGAAACAAGUGCUAAUACCGCAUAAUUAGUUGGAACCGCAUGGUUCCAACUUGAAAGAUGGCUCUGCUAUCACUUUGGGAUGGACCCGCGCCGUAUUAGUUAGUUGGUGAGAUAAAAGCCCACCAAGACGAUGAUACGUAGCCGACCUGAGAGGGUAAUCGGCCACAUUGGGACUGAGACACGGCCCAGACUCCUACGGGAGGCAGCAGUAGGGAAUCUUCCACAAUGGACGAAAGUCUGAUGGAGCAACGCCGCGUGAGUGAUGAAGGUUUUCGGAUCGUAAAACUCUGUUGUUAAAGAAGAACAAGUGUUAGAGUAACUGUUAACACUUUGACGGUAUUUAACCAGAAAGCCACGGCUAACUACAUGCCAGCAGCCGCGGUAAUACGUAGGUGGCAAGCGUUGUCCGGAUUUAUUGGGCGUAAAGCGAGCGCAGGCGGUUUUGUAAGUCUGCUGUGAAAGCCCUCAGCUCAACUGAGGAAGUGCAGUGGAAACUACAAAACUUGAGUACAGAAGAGGAAAGUGGAACUCCAUGUGUAGCGGUGAAAUGCGUAGAUAUAUGGAAGAACACCAGUGGCGAAGGCGGCUUUCUGGUCUGUUACUGACGCUGAGGCUCGAAAGCAUGGGUAGCGAACAGGAUUAGAUACCCUGGUAGUCCAUGCCGUAAACGAUGAAUACUAGGUGUUGGAGGGUUUCCGCCCUUCAGUGCCGCAGCUAACGCAUUAAGUAUUCCGCCUGGGGAGUACGACCGCAAGGUUGAAACUCAAAGGAAUUGACGGGGGCCCGCACAAGUGGUGGAGCAUGUGGUUUAAUUCGAUGCUACGCGAAGAACCUUACCAGCUCUUGACAUCUUCUGCCAACCCAAGAGAUUGGGCGUUCCCUUCGGGGACAGAAUGACAGGUGGUGCAUGGUUGUCGUCAGCUCGUGUCGUGAGAUGUUGGGUUAAGUCCCGCAACGAGCGCAACCCUUAUUAUUAGUUGCCAGCAUUUAGUUGGGCACUCUAGUGAGACUGCCGGUGAUAAA
Molecule: ribosomal RNA, 1123 nt
Filed under: uncultured bacterium
Lineage: Bacteria
Description: bacterial SSU rRNA
Rfam family: Bacterial small subunit ribosomal RNA
Source: RNAcentral